Molecule: ribosomal RNA, 497 nt
Filed under: uncultured bacterium
Lineage: Bacteria
Description: partial 16S ribosomal RNA
Rfam family: Bacterial small subunit ribosomal RNA
Source: RNAcentral
GAUGAACGCUGGCGGCGUGCCUAAUACAUGCAAGUCGAGCGAACGGACGAUAAGCUUGCUUCUCUGAUGUUAGCGGCGGACGGGUGAGUAACACGUGUAUAACCUACCUAUAAGACUGGGAUAACUUCGGGAAACCGGAGCUAAUACCGGAUAAUAUUUUGAACCGCAUGGUUCAAUAGUGAAAGACGGCCUUGCUGUCACUUAUAGAUGGAUCCGCGCUGCAUUAGCUAGUUGGUAAGUUAACGGCUUACCAAGGCAACGAUGCGUAGCCGACCUGAGAGGGUGAUCGGCCACACUGGAACUGAGACACGGUCCAGAGUCCUACGGGAGGCAGCAGUAGGGAAUCGUCCGCAAUGGGCGAAAGCCUGACGGAGCAAGGCCGCGUGAGUGAUGAAGAUCUUCGGAUCGUAAAACUCGGUUAUUAGGGAAGAACAUAUGUGGAAGUAACUGUGCACAUAUUGACGGUAACUAAUAAGAAAGCCACGGCUAACUACGUG